Molecule: non-coding RNA, 148 nt
Filed under: Papio anubis (olive baboon)
Lineage: Eukaryota; Metazoa; Chordata; Mammalia; Primates; Cercopithecidae
Source: Rfam by way of RNAcentral
GCUGGGUGUGGUGGUGCGCACCUGUAGUUCCAGCUACUUGGGAGGCUGAGGCAGGAGAAUCACUUGAACCCGGGAGGCGGAGGUUGCAGUGAGCCAAGAUCAGGCUACUGCACUCCAGCCUGGGCAACAGAGUGAGACUCUGUCUCAA